This 283-nucleotide ribosomal RNA is filed under the name Caenoplana coerulea. RNAcentral's name for it is "partial 18S ribosomal RNA". It matches the Rfam family "Eukaryotic small subunit ribosomal RNA", at positions 567 to 852 of the family's 1831-position model. Lineage: Eukaryota; Metazoa; Platyhelminthes; Tricladida; Geoplanidae. The record is from RNAcentral.
CCAGCAGCCGCGGUAAUUCCAGCUCCAAUAGCGUAUAUUAAAGUCGUUGCAGUUAAAAAGCUCGUAGUUGAAAUUGAGGUCGGAGUUUGAUUUAUUAGUCCUAUGGAUUAGUAUAUUCGAAUUCUCCUUUUUCGUCGUGAAUACGCUUGAGGUGCUUAAUUGCAUUUCUUGUGUAACCGACAAGUUUACUUUGAAAAAAUUAGAGUGCUUAAAGCAGGCUUUUGCUUGUAUAUUGUUGCAUGGAAUAAUGAAAUAGGACUUCGGUUUUAUUUUGUUGGUUUUC